RNA transcript from Brassica rapa (field mustard), 3319 nucleotides. It is a transcript of the gene named alanine--tRNA ligase, with no coding region annotated. The record is from RefSeq and is a predicted model, not a curated record. NCBI's taxonomy places the organism in Eukaryota, Viridiplantae, Streptophyta, Magnoliopsida, Brassicales, Brassicaceae.
AACGGCAGAGAGUAAGAGAGAGAAAGAGGUGUUUGCUGCGUUUGAAUGAGAUUAAACAACGCCGCUCUUCUUCUUCUUCUGCAAUCCACCUCUCCGCCUAGGGUUUUCUCUUCCACUCUCCGCCGCCCUUUCCUCUCUCGCUCCCGCUUCAGCUUCUCUUCUUCCGCCGCAGCCAUGCCUGGUUCCGAACCAUCAUCGGAGAUUCAAUGGCCAGCCAAGACCGUCAGGGACACGUAUUUCGAUUUCUUCAAAGGGAAAGGUCACAAGUUCUGGCCAUCGAGCCCCGUUGUUCCACACAACGAUCCCACUCUCCUCUUCGCCAACGCCGGAAUGAACCAGUACAAGCCAAUAUUUUUGGGAACGGCUGAUCCGAAUACGGAGCUCAGCAAGCUAACUCGGGCGUGUAACACACAGAAGUGUAUUCGUGCUGGUGGGAAGCAUAAUGAUCUUGACGAUGUGGGGAAGGAUACUUACCAUCACACCUUCUUUGAGAUGCUCGGUAACUGGUCAUUUGGAGAUUAUUUCAAGAAGGAAGCUAUUGAGUGGGCUUGGGAGCUCUUGACUAAGGUUUAUGGGCUACCGACUGAUCGAAUUUAUGCUACCUACUUUGGCGGGGAUGAGAAAGCUGGCCUUCAACCUGAUAAUGAAGCUCGAGAUAUAUGGCUUCAGUUUCUCCCACCUGGACGUGUCCUCCCUUUUGGUUGCAAGGACAACUUCUGGGAAAUGGGAGACACAGGUCCGUGUGGACCUUGUACUGAGAUUCAUUAUGAUCGUGUUGGCAACCGUGAUGCUGCAUCCUUAGUUAACAAUGACGAUCCAACUUGUUUGGAAAUAUGGAAUCUUGUGUUUAUUCAGUUCAACAGAGAGAGUGAUGGCUCACUAAAACCUCUCCCUGCUAAGCAUGUCGAUACUGGAAUGGGUUUCGAGAGGUUAACUUCUGUUCUUCAGAACAAAAUGAGCAACUACGAUACAGAUGUGUUCAUGCCUAUCUUUGAUGACAUUCAGAAGGCCACAGGAGCGAGGCCAUAUUCUGGAAAAGUUGGUGUGGAAGAUGUCGACAGAGUUGACAUGGCUUAUAGAGUGGUUGCGGAUCAUAUUAGGACACUAUCAUUUGCUAUCGCAGAUGGCUCUCGUCCUGGUAAUGAGGGCCGUGAGUAUGUUCUACGGCGUAUCCUUCGCAGAGCAGUUCGCUAUGGAAAGGAGAUCCUAAAAGCUGAAGAAGGUUUUUUCAACGGACUCGUCAGUUCUGUUAUUCGAGUGAUGGGCGAUACCUUUACAGAGUUGAAGGAACAUGAGAAGAAGAUCACAGAGAUAAUAAAAGAAGAGGAAGCAAGCUUUUGCAAGACUUUGGCGAAGGGAAUUGAGAAAUUUCAGAAAGCUGGACAGGCAGUUCAGGGGAAUACAUUGAGUGGAGAGGAUGCUUUUGUCUUAUGGGAUACGUUUGGGUUCCCAUUAGAUCUCACACAGUUGAUGGCUGAAGAAAGAGGGUUGCUGGUUGAUGUUGAUGGCUUCAACAAAGCCAUGGAAGAGGCGAGGGAAAGAUCUAGAAGUGCCCAGAAUAAGCAAGCUGGUGGUUCCAUUGUUAUGGAUGCUGAUGCUACAUCAAAAUUGCACAAGGCUGGUGUUUUAGCAACAGAUGACUCUUUUAAAUACACUUGGUUCAAGGAUCACGAGAGUGAAGUAAAGGCUAUCUACACUGGCUCUGCUUUUCUGGAAAGUUCAGCUGCUGGCGAUAAUGUUGGACUAGUUUUGACGUCGUCUAGUUUCUAUGCUGAGCAGGGUGGUCAGAUUUUCGAUACAGGACUUAUUGAAGGCUCGUUUGGUACAUUCAACGUAUGUAAUGUCCAAAUAUUUGGAGGCUUUGUUCUUCAUAUUGGUUAUCUCUCAAAAGAAACUGGAGUUGUAUCUGUGGGAGAUAAAGUGACUUGCAAGGUUGACUAUGAGAGGCGUAAGCUCAUCGCUCCUAACCAUACUUGUACACAUAUGUUGAAUUUUGCACUGAAGGAAGUGCUCGGGGAUCAUAUUGAUCAGAAGGGAUCAAUAGUUCUUCCUGAAAAACUGCGUUUUGAUUUUUCUCACGGCAAGCCGGUUGAUCCUGAAGAUUUAAGAAAGAUCGAAGCCAUAGUGAAUAAACAGAUCAAGGAUGAACUGGAUGUAUUUUCGAAGGAAUCAGUGCUUUCUGAAGCCAAGCGAAUCAAAGGUUUAAGAGCAGUGUUUGGUGAAGUCUACCCUGAUCCUGUUAGAGUGGUGUCGAUUGGGAGACGGGUCGAGGACCUCUUGGCUGAUCCCGAAAACAAUGAGUGGUCAUCACUUUCUUCUGAGUUUUGUGGAGGAACCCACAUAACAAACACCCGUGAAGCGAAAGCUUUUGCUCUUCUAUCAGAAGAAGGAAUUGCUAAAGGUAUUCGUAGGGUAACUGCUGUGACUACCGAAUGUGCUUUUGAUGCAUUGAACGUGGCGUCCUCACUUGAAAAAGAAGUCGAGGAUGCAUCCAAAGCGGAGGGGAGUGCAUUGGAAAAGAAAGUUGCUGCUUUGAAAAGCCGGGUAGACUCGGCAAUUAUGCCAGCGGCCAAAAAGGCAGAUAUAAGGGCCAAGAUUGCUCUGCUUCAGAAUGAAGUGAGAAAAGCUCAAAAGAAAAUAGCAGAGCAGAACCUGAAGAUAUCUGUGAAAGUAGCAACAGAGGCAGCAGAGUCUGCAGCAUCUGAUGGGAAGACAUUCUGCAUUAUCCAGCUUGAUGUAGGUCUCGAUGCAGCUGCCGUGCGAGAAGCUGUCUCGAAAGUUAUGGAAAAGAAGGGAAUGUCGAUAAUGGUGUUCAGCACAGAUGAAACGACCAACAAGGCGGUUGUGUGUGCGGGAGUUCCAGACAAAUCUGAUAAAUUCAAGCAAUUAGACGUCACUGAGUGGCUUACUACUGCAUUGGGUCCUCUGAAAGGGAGAUGCGGGAAAGGGAAAAGUGGUCUUGCAUCUGGACAGGGAACGGAUGCCUCUCAAGUGAACGCAGCUUUGGAUCUGGCUGCAUCAUUUGCAUCACUGAAACUCAACUGAUUGAUGUGGAGGUGAUUACAGAAUCUGUGUGGUCUUGGACAACCUCUACUCAUUUGAUACCAUUGUAUACCGUUUUACUCAUUUUAAGAUCUACUGUUCUCUCAUUUCUUGUGUCGAAUUCGUGGUACUUCUUAGUCAGUCAAAGUUAGCAAUUGGUGGUACCUCUUUUGAGCCAAUCCGGUGAUGGUUCUACUGGUUUGGUUUUAUAUUUCAAUAAUUUAUGGAACAUAAAAGCUGUUCACUCGUUUCUUUGGUUUGAUAUGGUUUCAGUUCA